CGAAAGCUAGUUGUAUUAAUUAUUAGUUAAUGCAAGAUCGACUAUGUCGACUAAAGUUCUAGGUAGAAUAAUGAUGAUGACAAUUUUCUACCUAUAUGUCUUGACCAAAUCUCGUGCCAGCAGUCGCGGUAAUACGUGAAAGACUAGUGUUAUUCAUCUUUAAUAGGUUUAAAGGGUACCUAGACGGUAUUUUUAGCCCAAAACAGGGUACGGACUUACUAGAGUUUUAUGUGAGAAGGGGAGUACUUGUAGAGUAGAGAUGAAAUUUUGUGAUACUAUGAGGAAACUGGUGGCGGCGAAAGCAACCUUCUAUGUAUAAACUGACGUUGAGGGACGAAGGCUUGGGUAGCAAAUAGGAUUAGAUACCCUAGUAGUCCAAGCAGACAAUUCUGAAUGCCAUAGAUUAGAUUAUUUUUGGUCUAUAAAUGAAAGUGUAAGCAUUCCACCUUAGGAGUAAUGUGGCAACACAGGAACUGAAAUCAUUAGACCGUUUCUGAAACCAGUAGUGAAGUAUGUUAUUUAAUUUGAUAGUCCUCAAAAAACCUUACCACAACUUGAAUGUUAUUAAAUUAAUACAAGCGUUGCACGGCUGUCUUCAGUUAAUAUCGUGAGAUUUUGGUUAACUCCAUUAAUUAACGUAAACCCUUACUUUA
RNAcentral lists this ribosomal RNA (653 nucleotides) under Acarospora glaucocarpa. RNAcentral describes it as "SSU rRNA". It matches the Rfam family "Bacterial small subunit ribosomal RNA", at positions 376 to 1113 of the family's 1533-position model. Lineage: Eukaryota; Fungi; Ascomycota; Lecanoromycetes; Acarosporales; Acarosporaceae. The record is from RNAcentral.